RNAcentral lists this long non-coding RNA (2435 nucleotides) under Trifolium pratense (red clover). RNAcentral's name for it is "long non-coding RNA (TPRA_LNC014403)". Lineage: Eukaryota; Viridiplantae; Streptophyta; Magnoliopsida; Fabales; Fabaceae. The record is from RNAcentral.
UUUGCCUCUCACCUUGUAGCUCAUUUUUUAAUACUAUUUACAUGUAUGGAAAGCUAACGAAAUUACCCUUGUUGACAUUUCAAUUUCGUCGAAUUUGGAGUUACAAUGCGUUCGGUAGACGAUGUUGAAUUUGAAGGUCACAAGUAGAUUUUUGCUGAAUUAGUAAUUGAACAGACCUUCACUAAAAUGGUAAUUAAUCUCUCUAUAACUCCAAAUUUAGUGGGGUUUGAUUAUGUGGAAAGCUAACUCGAUUACGGUCGUUUCGGUAUCAGUUUUGUGAAUUAUUGAUCCAAAUUGAGUUCUGUGCGAAGCUUUGAACUUGAGGCUCAAAUACAGAUUUUGUGCAGAAUUUUGGUGGGGGGCAAAAUCCAACAAAUUAUAAAAUAGGGGGGUAAAAUUCCGCAUUUUUCAAAACAAGGGGGUAAAACUGCAUUUAAGCCUAUUUUAUUCUGUCAUAUUUUAGUUUAAAACUAACUAUGAAAUAAUCUGAUGACGUUCAGAGGUUGCUGUUGUUGAUUUGAGGUGGGAAAUAGUGCGUUUGGAGAUUCGUUAGAUUCAAUUUGAUGGUGGAGAUUUGUUUAUGCACACCAUGCAUAAGUUUAUUCCUUAUGCAUAAUAACUCAUGCCGAAGGGUGGUAUACACCACUAUCACUAUAAGAAUAACAUAUGAUACUUACAAAACAGAUAAUGUAUAUUUUCGCGGGGUCAAUCCAACAUAAAUAUUACUCCUAAUAAUAUAUUUAUACAUAUAUGAAGACUUGAUAUCUUAUAUUUAUGACCCGUAAUAUAUUGUCAUCAGUCUACUUACAUAUGUUUUAUUGUUAUCCCAUUUCACAAUAAAUUUUGGCAUAAACAUUUUAAGAUAUAUGUCCUUAUGUUUAAUGAAAUCUCACGAUUAAAUCAAACUUAAUAUUCAUACUUGCGGGGAAGACCCGUUAUUUAUAGUUUGGCUGCAAAGUGAUAAAUCUCCAUGUUGUUGUUAUCUUCACACACUUGGGUUUGUUUCGCAUAUGUUCAACAAAUAUGUUUAAAUUGGAAGCUAGGGUGCUACCUCCAAAAUUAAGAUAAAAAAAGAAAAUUAAAUACCGCUAUUUUCUACUUUAACAUCGUCACAAAGUAUAAGGGUGUGUUUGUUUCAAGGUUUGUAAUGUUAUUCCUGGGAAUAUGAGAUCUGGAAUGUAACAUUACUAUGUUUGUUUCAAGUUUUGAAAAUUUGUUCCCAGGAAUGUUAAUUACACAUAACUUCUACACUUGUUAUUCCCAUGCUAAUAGGGUGAGAAUAUAACAUUCCCAUGGGAAUAAAACUCAACUUCGUAUAACUUCUCAUAACUUCCCACUACCACUCACAUUUAUUUGCAUUUUUAAUUUUUCAAUUUUUUAUUUAAUAUAAAUUUUAAAAACAUUCUCAGGAAAUCUAAAUUUUAACCAAACACAUGAGUAGGAAUAUUAUUCCUGAAAAUAAUAUUCCUAGGAAUAUCAUUCCAAGGAAUACAAUUUCAUACCUUGAAACAAACACACCCUAAAAACAAAAUUAUAACUGCAACGUCUAUGAAAUUUGGAAAAGAAAAAAAUUACAAUUAUUGGAUGCCAACACAUUAAUUAAGUGAUAGGUUAUGGUAUUUCAAAAUAGGUUUAACUACAUAUUUGGUCAUUUACGUUUAUUUUAGGUUUCAAUUUGGUCUCUUACGUUUAAAAAGUAUUAAUUUGGUCUCUUACGUUUAUUUUAGGUUUCAAGUUAGUCCUUUCCGUCAAUUUUGUCACAUGUGACAGUCAAUUUGCAUAUGUGGACAGACACGUGGCACUUGUACAUGCUGACACGUGUACUGUUCAAACGGUGUUAGUGACAAAACUAACGGAAAUGACUAACUUGAAACCUAAAAUAAACGUAAGGGACCAAAUUGAUACUUUUUAAACGUAGGGGACCAAAUUGAAACAUAAAAUAAACAGAAUAACACAUAUUGCUCAUUUAUUUUUCUAAUAAAACAAUAACUCAUUCUUAUUCAUAGAGCAUUUUUGUACUCUCUUGGAUCUUGUACUCUUAGAAUCAGAAUCAGGGAAUGUUUUCUAUAAAUGUGCAUUUGUGAUCAAUGCACUUCAUAAGAAAAUGAGAGCACGUAUGAGGUGGACAAUCGGCAUCGGUUUGACAUUGAUUAUUAUUUGCUGUAAUAAACAAGUAACAAGUAAUAAAAUAAUUUAAUUAAAAUCAUAACAAAUUGUGUAUAUGUAUAAACUAAUAAAGAAGGAAAUUUGAAAAAAAAUGAAUGAUUAUCUUACCACCACCAACUUUCAUUACGAAAAGAAAUAGAAUCAUAGCAUAAACGAAUUUUAGAAUUUCAGCCAUUUUGCUACCACUUUGCGUGUACUAAAUAUAAUAUGAAUUUAUUUAUAGUUUAUAAAGUUCAUGCUGUCUUAAAAAAUAAUUAAAUAAUGUUUAG